This is a non-coding RNA of Oryza brachyantha (malo sina), 157 nucleotides long. Lineage: Eukaryota; Viridiplantae; Streptophyta; Magnoliopsida; Poales; Poaceae. The record is from Rfam.
UUGCCUUAAACUAAUGAGUAAGGAAAACAAAGCGGUGCGGUGAGAGCCGCUCGCGGUGCGGGACUCAACCCUGCACGGCAAUUUUUGGGAGGGGAAGAGGCCUGCGCGGGUAUUGACACUGCUUACUUUUGCAGGACUUGCCCUUGUGGGCCUCCCU